GGAGAGGUGCUGGAGUGGUCUAUCAGGCACGCCUGGAAAGCGUGAGUCGGGGCAACCUGACCGUGGGUUCGAACCCCACCCUCUCCG
This 87-nucleotide transfer RNA is filed under the name Dehalogenimonas sp. WBC-2. RNAcentral's name for it is "tRNA-Ser". It matches the Rfam family "tRNA". From Rfam's summary of the family: Transfer RNA (tRNA) molecules are approximately 80 nucleotides in length. Their secondary structure includes four short double-helical elements and three loops (D, anti-codon, and T loops). Further hydrogen bonds mediate the characteristic L-shaped molecular structure. tRNAs have two regions of fundamental functional importance: the anti-codon, which is responsible for specific mRNA codon recognition, and the 3' end, to which the tRNAs corresponding amino acid is attached (by aminoacyl-tRNA synthetases). tRNAs cope with the degeneracy of the genetic code in two manners: having more than one tRNA (with a specific anti-codon) for a particular amino acid; and 'wobble' base-pairing, i.e. permitting non-standard base-pairing at the 3rd anti-codon position. The record is from RNAcentral. Lineage: Bacteria; Bacillati; Chloroflexota; Dehalococcoidia; Dehalococcoidales; Dehalococcoidaceae.